AGAGUUUGAUCCUGGCUCAGGAUGAACGCUAGCGGCGGGCUUAAUACAUGCAAGUCGAACGGUGUAGCAAUACAUAGUGGCGGACGGGUGCGGAACACGUAUGCAACCUACCUGGGGGCGGGGGACAACGGGAAGAAAUUCCCGCUAAUACCGCAUGAGACCGCCGAACCGCAUGGUUUGGCGGUAAAAGCCUUCGGGCACCUUUAGAUGGGCAUGCGUCCGAUUAGCUGGUUGGCGGGGUAACGGCCCACCAAGGCGACGAUCGGUAGCUGGCCUUAGCGGGUGGUCAGCCACACGGGGACUGAGACACGGCCCCGACUCCUACGGGAGGCAGCAGUGGGGAAUAUUGGGCAAUGGGCGAAAGCCUGACCCAGCGACGCCGCGUGGGGGAUGAAGGCCUUCGGGUCGUAAACCCUUGUUAGGGGGAACGAUGGGCUUGUGAGCUAAUACCUCGCAGGCUUGACGGUACCUCCAAAGAAAGCCCCGGCUAACUCCGUGCCAGCAGCCGCGGUAAUAC
RNAcentral lists this ribosomal RNA (517 nucleotides) under uncultured bacterium. Its description in RNAcentral is "bacterial SSU rRNA". It matches the Rfam family "Bacterial small subunit ribosomal RNA", at positions 8 to 526 of the family's 1533-position model. The record is from RNAcentral.